This 440-nucleotide ribosomal RNA is filed under the name uncultured bacterium. Its description in RNAcentral is "partial 16S ribosomal RNA". It matches the Rfam family "Bacterial small subunit ribosomal RNA", at positions 338 to 795 of the family's 1533-position model. The record is from RNAcentral.
CCUACGGGUGGCAGCAGUGGGGAAUAUUGCGCAAUGGGCGAAACCCUGAUGCAGCGACGCCGCGUGAGGGAAGAAGUAUUUCGGGACGUAAAGCUCUAUCACAAGGGAAGAAAAUGACAGUAUCUGAUGAAGAAGCGCCGGCUAACUACGUGCAAGCAACCGCGGGAAUACGGGGGGGUAAAGCGUUUACCGGAUAUACUGGGUGUAAAGGGCGCGUAGACGGUGGCGCAGGUCUGGGGUGAAAUCCCAUGGCUUAACCAUGGAAGUGCGUUGGAAGCUGUGCAGCUAGAGUGCAGGAGAGGUAAGCGGAAUUCCUUGUGUAGCGGUGAAAUGCGUAGAUAUUAGGAGGAACACCAGUGGCGAAGGCGGCUUACUGGACUGUAACUGACGUUGAGGCGCGAAAGCGUGGGGAGCAAACAGGAUUAGAUACCCGAGUAGUC